UACGGGGGGGGCAAGCGUUGUUCGGAAUUACUGGGCGUAAAGGGCGCGUAGGCGGCCUGCUAAGUCGGAUGUGAAAUCCCCCGGCUUAACCUGGGAACUGCGUCUGAUACUGGAAGGCUUGAGUAUGGGAGAGGGAUGUAGAAUUCCAGGUGUAGCGGUGAAAUGCGUAGAUAUCUGGAGGAACACCGGUGGCGAAGGCGGUUCUCUGGGCAUUACCUGACGCUGAGGAGCGAAAGUGUGGGGAGCGAACAGG
RNAcentral lists this ribosomal RNA (253 nucleotides) under uncultured bacterium. Its description in RNAcentral is "partial 16S ribosomal RNA". It matches the Rfam family "Bacterial small subunit ribosomal RNA", at positions 524 to 776 of the family's 1533-position model. The record is from RNAcentral.